CCUACGGGGGGCAGCAGUGGGGGAUAUUGCACAAUGGGGGAAACCCUGAUGCAGCGACGCCGCGUGGGUGAAGAAGCGCCUCGGCGCGUAAAGCCCUGUCAGCAGGGAAGAAAAUGACGGUACCUGAAGAAGAAGCCACGGCUAACUACGUGCCAGCAGCCGCGGUAAUACGUAGGGGGCAAGAGUGAUCCGGAUUUACUGGGUGUAAAGGGGGCGCAGACGGCGAUGCAAGCCAGGAGUUAAAGCCCGGGGCCCAACCCCGGGACUGCUCUUGGAACUGCGUGGCUAGAGUGCAGGAGGGGCAGGAGGAAUUCCUGGUGUAGCGGUGAAAUGCGUAGAUAUCACACAGAACACCGAUUGCGAAGGCAUCUCACGAAUCCGCGAUUGACGCUGAUGCACGAAAGCGUGGGUAUCAAACAGGAUUAGAUACCCUGGUAGUC
Molecule: ribosomal RNA, 440 nt
Filed under: uncultured bacterium
Lineage: Bacteria
Description: partial 16S ribosomal RNA
Rfam family: Bacterial small subunit ribosomal RNA
Source: RNAcentral